UACACAGGUCCCGAGCGUUGUUCGGAUUCACUGGGCGUAAAGGGUGCGUAGGUGGCAUGGUAAGUUUGAUGUGAAAGCUCAGGGCUCAACCCUGAAAUGGCAUUGAAUACUACUGUGCUGGAGGUUUGGAGGGGGGACUGGAAUUCUUGGUGUAGCAGUGAAAUGCGUAGAUAUCAAGAGGAACACCAGUGGCGAAGGCGAGUCCCUGGACAACACCUGACACUGAGGCACGAAAGCUAGGGGAGCAAACAGG
RNAcentral lists this ribosomal RNA (253 nucleotides) under uncultured bacterium. Its description in RNAcentral is "partial 16S ribosomal RNA". It matches the Rfam family "Bacterial small subunit ribosomal RNA", at positions 524 to 776 of the family's 1533-position model. The record is from RNAcentral.